Molecule: long non-coding RNA, 1030 nt
Organism: Trifolium pratense (red clover)
Lineage: Eukaryota; Viridiplantae; Streptophyta; Magnoliopsida; Fabales; Fabaceae
Exons: 4
Source: RefSeq, a predicted model, not a curated record
UAUUUCGCUGAAAAUUUCGUAAGGUUUCAUUCCACUUUUUCUCGGUCCGCCGUUUCCCUCUUCCUCACUCUCCAAUCUCCAUAUCCAUCGUUCUUCAUGAAACUCUCAAUCAUCACUCUCCAUCGUUCCUCACUCUCCAUCAUUAACUCAUCAAUUGAACCCUAAAACCUUCUUCUCUCCAUCAUUCCCAAAAAAUUGUUAAACCCUAAAUCCCAAAUUGAACCCAAAAAUUGAAGGAUUGAAGGCUAGAAGGAGUUUUCUGUUUUCUGUUUAACUUCGUCUCUUUGUCUCCGAUCGAUCUCCACCUAUUACCGUCUCUAGGUUCAAUGUAUCUCUUCGUCACUCAAUUGCUCUCUAUCUCCAAUUCGCUCUCUGUAAUUUCUUCGAUCUCUGAUUAGCUUUUUAUGAUGUUGAAAUUUUGAAUAUAGUUGCAAAUCCACACAACAAACUUCAAUUGCAAUUAAUCAAAUGUGCUUUCGAGCUUUUUUCACCUAAAGGGUUCCUUUUUGAAAGAGAUAAAAGUGAUUUUGAUGGCUUAACUUUGAAUUUGGCUUAACUCUGUUCAGGAGAACCAUGAGUGGAAUGAGUGGCAAGAUACAUAUGCAGAACAAAUCCAAUGAUAAUCUUAAUUAUAGGAACAUGGUGGUGUUCAACGUGAUGAUGAGACAGUGGCAGAUGCUGCACAACAAACAACCUGAGCGAUUGAAGGUGCCAAGCAAUUAGCCUCGUCAACCAUCGAAACCAUUUAGGGACUUCUUGGUAUAAUAUGAGAAUGGUGAUGGCUUGCGAGCAAUCCUAAGGCGUUCAAGUGGAUUAUUAAUUGUUUGUUGCGUGCAAUCCUAAGGCGUACAAGUUGAUUAUUAAUUGUUUGCCGCAUAAAUUCUUGUUCUGCAUAGGAACAUUAAGUGUAGGGAUAGGUGAGUGAUUAUGGUUGAGGAGGUAUUGCACCUUUGUAGUAGACAUAAGUUAGUUUUGGUGGGUGAGACUUAUGUAUUGAAUAUCUACAUGUAUAUAUAAUUGUAUUGUAUAU